GAGAAUAGUGGUAAUCAUAAAAUUUUAGUGAUAUUUCUUGAAUGGUAUUGGAUGCAUGUUGAUGCAAAUGUUAGGGUGAUGGCAUAUGUUUCAUGACAAAUGGAAUCUCAUAAGAUGAAUUACCCUACUGGUGAUUUGGAAGUCACGAUUAUCAUCCUUGCUGUGAAGUUAUGGAGACAUUAUAUGUUGAUAAGAAUGCAAGAUUUUACAAAUCAAAAGAGUCUCCAAUAUUUGUUUACUUGGAAGGAUUUUGAUAUGAGGCAACAAAGGUGAAUUGAAUUACUUAGUGAUUAUGAUUGUACGAUCAGGGUGAUCGUGAAUUGUUGUAGCUGAAGCACUUGAUAAGAAGACUACAGUAAGAUUAAUGUCUGGCACGCUUGCCAAAAAAAAAAAAAAAAAAAAAAAAUUCUUGUUGUGGAUUGGAAACCAACUAAAGUAAAGUUCAGAAAUGGAAAGAUAUUACUUUGGAUUAUGUGUACAAGUUUUCUUGUACAUAAGAUGGUUAUGAUCGAAUUUGAGGUGUUGAUUGGUCAAUGUACUAAGUUAGUACAUUUACUCCAGUGUUGAGUAACAGUACUUAUUUGUUUUAUGGAAAAGAGAAUUGGAUUACGGAACUGCUAAGUUUCUUAAGUAUGUUGGUUGUGCAGUUUCCGAAGUAACGCCAUAGGGUCCCUGAAGCGUGUCGUGUGAAUGAAAUGCUUCUGAAUAGAGAAAGAUUCGAUCAAGAAAGAGUUUUAGUAGACCCUGAGACUAUGGAUGAGUCUCCUCAAAGUAUUCAGGUGAUUAAGUUAACCUGAAGUAACCAGGAAUGGCAAAAGAGACUAACAGAUGGAUAUGCCACUAAUCGAGUGUGUAAGGUAAAUGGUUUGAUAUUUUUGGAAAUUUCACCAUGAACAGAAAUAGUAAGAUUUAGAAAGGAAGACAAGAUAAGUCUUGAACACAUCAGUCCGUUUUGAUCACUAAAGGAAUCAAUAAAGUUGCAUACAAGUGGUGAUGUCUUCAGAGUUGGCUAAGAUACUUAAUGUAUUUUGGGUUCGAUACGUUGUCACUAGGUGGCAGAUUCGUCACAUGAGAUUCUGGUGCAACUAUUGAGAAUUAAGCGGGAUCUAAUUGAUAAGGAACUAAGGACGAUUUUGGAUUGGAGAAAGGAAGUCCCGAGAGUUAAGAAAGAGUAAGUGGUAAAGGAUUUGUGAAGAAAUCAUUCAGUAGAAGAAAUUACGUGGAAGAACGGAUGAGAGAGAUCUACCCGAGACUAUUGUAUGGGUAUAGAUGUUUCAGUAAGGUUGAUUUAGUUGGUUGUUGGAAUUUCGGGGACGAAAUUCUAUAAGGAGGGAAGAUUGUCACAGCCCGUCCCAAGAUUAGUAUUUUCUUAAGUGUGAACUUAGUUAAAUUACCCUAGUUUAAAGUUAGAUGGACUUUGAGGUUUUGGAGGUUUGUGAUGAAUGAUUGAGGACUUAGACCCUACACACUCACGGAUCCAAGUCAUUUCCCAUUCUCCGUGAAUUGCUCUACCUUUCAAACCUGUCAAGCACUUUCUCUCUCUCAUCCGUGUACCACUCCCUCUCUCUCUAUUCCCUCGACAAGUUUCACUCACCCUCAUUCUCUCUCAAUACACAGACAACACUCGAAAACCUUCAAACCUUUACAGAUCGAGAUCAUGGAGAGUACGGUGGUGUUCCUGAGGUCCUUAUGAUUUUAACCACAUAGCUUUCAAAUCCUGGAACCUUCGAAAACCCGAGAAAAGCCGUAACCCGAUUUGAGUACACAAUCACUUCGACGUGAUCUUGGAAGUUUCAAGCCAGUUUAAGACUCCCAAAGGAUCAUAGGGAGCUUUAGAAUGUUCUCACGAUGCUCGGAGUGCAUCGUUGGUAAGAAAAGGAUCACGGGAAGCUCAGUUACGAAGUUUUACAGAGGUCGCCGGAGUUUCAAAGUUCCCCGACGUAAUUUCAUGCAAUUUGAAGUUUCAAACAGGCGGCGAUCGUCGUGACGCCUUGAUGUGUGGUGCUAGGGAGUUGUUGGACGAACUCCAGGU
Molecule: non-coding RNA, 2032 nt
Organism: Malus domestica (apple)
Lineage: Eukaryota; Viridiplantae; Streptophyta; Magnoliopsida; Rosales; Rosaceae
Source: RefSeq, a predicted model, not a curated record